RNAcentral lists this microRNA precursor (61 nucleotides) under Cordylochernes scorpioides. Lineage: Eukaryota; Metazoa; Arthropoda; Arachnida; Pseudoscorpiones; Chernetidae. The record is from RNAcentral.
UUGAGUAUUAUUUCUGGCGCUGGGUACUUGAUUCAAAUCCCGGUUCCAGAAUAAUAUUCAG